UUGCUUUUAGGUAGACUUCUACUGUUGC
RNAcentral lists this small RNA (28 nucleotides) under Bombyx mori (domestic silkworm). RNAcentral's name for it is "ovarian small RNA-37978". The record is from RNAcentral. Lineage: Eukaryota; Metazoa; Arthropoda; Insecta; Lepidoptera; Bombycidae.